RNAcentral lists this ribosomal RNA (433 nucleotides) under uncultured bacterium. Its description in RNAcentral is "partial 16S ribosomal RNA". It matches the Rfam family "Bacterial small subunit ribosomal RNA", at positions 29 to 507 of the family's 1533-position model. The record is from RNAcentral.
AACGAACGCUGGCGGCAUGCCUAACACAUGCAAGUCGAACGAGACCUUCGGGUCUAGUGGCGCACGUGUGCGUAACGCGUGGGAACCUGCCCUUAGGUUCGGAAUAACUCCCCGAAAGGGGUGCUAAUACCGGAUAAUGUCUUCGGACCAAAGAUUUAUCGCCUUUGGAUGGGCCCGCGUUGGAUUAGCUAGUUGGUAGGGUAAAAGCCUACCAAGGCGACGAUCCAUAGCUGGUCUGAGAGGAUGAUACGCCACACUGGGACUGAGACACGGCCCAGACUCCUACGGGAGGCAGCAGUGGGGAAUAUUGGACAAUGGGCGAAAGUCUGAUCCAGCAAUGCCGCGUGAGUGAUGAAGGCCUUAGGGUUGUAAAGCUCUUUUACCCGGGAUGAUAAUGACAGUACCGGGAGAAUAAGCUCCGGCUAACUCCGUG